GUGGGGAAUCUUGCGCAAUGGGCGAAAGCCUGACGCAGCCAUGCCGCGUGAAUGAUGAAGGUCUUAGGAUUGUAAAAUUCUUUCACCGGGGACGAUAAUGACGGUACCCGGAGAAGAAGCUCCGGCUAACUUCGUGCCAGCAGCCGCGGUAAUACGAAGGGGGCUAGCGGUGCUCGGAAUUACUGGGCGUAAAGGGCGCGUAGGCGGACAGCUUAGUCAGAGGUGAAAGCCCAGGGCUCAACCUUGGAAUUGCCUUUGAUACUGGCUGUCUUGAGUUUGGGAGAGGUGAGUGGAACUCCGAGUGUAGAGGUGAAAUUCGUAGAUAUUCGGAAGAACACCAGUGGCGAAGGCGACUCACUGGCCCAAUACUGACGCUGAGGCGCGAAAGCGUGGGGAGCAAACAGGAUUAGAAACCCGGGUAGUCC
This 425-nucleotide ribosomal RNA is filed under the name uncultured bacterium. Its description in RNAcentral is "partial 16S ribosomal RNA". It matches the Rfam family "Bacterial small subunit ribosomal RNA", at positions 354 to 796 of the family's 1533-position model. The record is from RNAcentral.